UACGUAGGGUCCGAGCGUUGUCCGGAAUUAUUGGGCGUAAAGAGCUCGUAGGCGGUUUGUCGCGUCUGCUGUGAAAACUCGGGGCUUAACUCCGGGCCUGCAGUGGGUACGGGCAGACUAGAGUGCGGUAGGGGAGACUGGAAUUCCUGGUGUAGCGGUGAAAUGCGCAGAUAUCAGGAGGAACACCGGUGGCGAAGGCGGGUCUCUGGGCCGUAACUGACGCUGAGGAGCGAAAGCGUGGGGAGCGAACAGG
This 253-nucleotide ribosomal RNA is filed under the name uncultured bacterium. RNAcentral's name for it is "partial 16S ribosomal RNA". It matches the Rfam family "Bacterial small subunit ribosomal RNA", at positions 524 to 776 of the family's 1533-position model. The record is from RNAcentral.